This 277-nucleotide ribosomal RNA is filed under the name uncultured prokaryote. RNAcentral's name for it is "partial 16S ribosomal RNA". It matches the Rfam family "Bacterial small subunit ribosomal RNA", at positions 524 to 800 of the family's 1533-position model. The record is from RNAcentral.
UACGUAGGUGGCGAGCGUUAUCCGGAUUUACUGGGUGUAAAGGGCGUGUAGGCGGGUUAGCAAGUUGGAAGUGAAAUACCGCAGCUUAACUGCGGGGCUGCUUUCAAAACUACUAAUCUUGAGUGUCGGAGAGGAAAGUGGAAUUCCUAGUGUAGCGGUGAAAUGCGUAGAUAUUAGGAGGAACACCAGUGGCGAAGGCGACUUUCUGGACGAUAACUGACGCUGAGGCGCGAAAGCGUGGGGAGCAAACAGGAUUAGAUACCCUGGUAGUCCCUGA